Molecule: ribosomal RNA, 403 nt
Filed under: uncultured bacterium
Lineage: Bacteria
Description: bacterial SSU rRNA
Rfam family: Bacterial small subunit ribosomal RNA
Source: RNAcentral
UGAGGAAUAUUGCUCAAUGGGCGAAAGCCUGAAGCAGCAACGCCGCGUGCGCGAUGAAGGUCUUCGGAUCGUAAAGCGCUUUUGAGAGGGACGAGAUAGGACGGUACCUCUUGAAUAAGUCACGGCUAACUACGUGCCAGCAGCCGCGGUAAAACGUAGGUGGCAAGCGUUAUCCGGAUUCACUGGGCGUAAAGCGCGUGCAGGUGGCUUCGUAAGUUGGACGUUAAAUCUUUCGGCCGAACCGGGAGGUGUCGUUCAAUACUGCGGGGCUUGAGGGUAGAAGAGGGGGGUGGAAUUGCCGGUGUAGUGGUGAAAUGCGUAGAUAUCGGCAGGAACACCUGUGGCGAAAGCGGCCCCCUGGUCUGCUCCUGACACUCAGACGCGAAAGCUAGGGGAGUGAACG